GGUAGCAAUACCCUGAGUAAARMGGCGCACGGGUGAGUAACACGUAGGUAACCUSCCUCUWAGWCUAGGAUAACCUGUUGAAAGACGAGCUAAUACUAGAUAAGACCACGGUCCCCWMRGGGACAGGGGUCAAAGGUGGCCUCUGCAUGCAAGCUAUCACUUAGAGAWGGGCCUGCGCACCAUUAGYUAGUUGGUAGGGUAAUGGCCUACCAAGGCAAAGAUGGUUAGYUGGUCUGAGAGGAUGACCAGCCACACUGGGASUGAGACACGGCCCAGACUCYUACGGGAGGCAGCARUGGGGAAUCUUGCGCAAUGGGCGAAAGCCUGACGCARCAACGCCGCGUGGGUGAUGAAGGCCUUCGGGUCGUAAAGCMCWGUCGGAAGGAACGAAUGCUUCCGCCACGAACAAUGGCGGAAAGUGACGG
RNAcentral lists this ribosomal RNA (425 nucleotides) under uncultured Geobacter sp. RNAcentral describes it as "partial 16S ribosomal RNA". It matches the Rfam family "Bacterial small subunit ribosomal RNA", at positions 75 to 475 of the family's 1533-position model. RNAcentral also lists the same sequence under 1 other name. Lineage: Bacteria; Pseudomonadati; Thermodesulfobacteriota; Desulfuromonadia; Geobacterales; Geobacteraceae. The record is from RNAcentral.